RNAcentral lists this ribosomal RNA (381 nucleotides) under uncultured bacterium. RNAcentral's name for it is "bacterial SSU rRNA". It matches the Rfam family "Bacterial small subunit ribosomal RNA", at positions 28 to 409 of the family's 1533-position model. The record is from RNAcentral.
GACGAACGCUGGCGGCGUGCUUAACACAUGCAAGUCGAGCGGUAAGGCCCUUUCGGGGGUACACGAGCGGCGAACGGGUGAGUAACACGUGGGUGACCUGCCCUCAGCUCUCGGGAUAAGCCUGGGAAACCGGGUCUAAUACUGGAUAUGACUCCAUGACGCAUGUUGUGGGGUGGAAAGCCUUGUGCGGCUGAGGAUGGGCCCGCGGCCUAUCAGCUUGUUGGUGGGGUGAUGGCCUACCAAGGCGACGACGGGUAGCCGGCCUGAGAGGGCGACCGGCCACACUGGGACUGAGACACGGCCCAGACUCCUACGGGAGGCAGCAGUGGGGAAUCUUGCGCAAUGGGCGAAAGCCUGACGCAGCGACGCCGCGUGAGGGAC